This 400-nucleotide ribosomal RNA is filed under the name phytoplankton environmental sample. RNAcentral's name for it is "partial small subunit ribosomal RNA". It matches the Rfam family "Eukaryotic small subunit ribosomal RNA", at positions 587 to 983 of the family's 1831-position model. The record is from RNAcentral.
AGCUCCAAGAGCGUAUAUUAAAGUUGUUGCAGUUAAAAAGCUCGUAGUUGGAUUUCUGGCUUGGCGCGCUUGGCCCGCCAGGGUUACCUGUGUGAGUGCCGAUGCGUGCCUUCCAUCCUUCUAGAGAACGUUUCUACCCUUCACUGGGCUGGACUCGCAAUCUAGAACUUUUACUUUGAAAAAAUUAGAGUGUUCAAGGCAGGCUCGCGCUAUGAAUACAUUAGCAUGGAAUAAUGAUUUAGGACUUCGUUUCUAUUUCGUUGGUUUCUGGAAAUGAAGUAAUGAUUGAUAGGGAUAGUUGGGGGUGCUAGUACUGACUCGCCAGAGGUGAAAUUCUUGGAUUGGGUCAAGACUAACAAAUGCGAAAGCAUUCACCAAGGAUGUCUUCUUUAAUCAAGAA